Molecule: ribosomal RNA, 502 nt
Filed under: uncultured bacterium
Lineage: Bacteria
Description: bacterial SSU rRNA
Rfam family: Bacterial small subunit ribosomal RNA
Source: RNAcentral
GAUCAUGGCUCAGAUUGAACGCUGGCGGCAGGCCUAACACAUGCAAGUCGAACGGUAACAGGAAGAAGCUUGCUUCUUUGCUGACGAGUGGCGGACGGGUGAGUAAUGUCUGGGAAACUGCCUGAUGAGGGGGAUAACUACUGGAAACGGUAGCUAAUACCGCAUAACGUCGCAAGACCAAAGAGGGGGACCUUCGGGCCUCUUGCCAUCGGAUGUGCCCAGAUGGGAUUAGCUAGUAGGUGGGGUAACGGCUCACCUAGGCGACGAUCCCUAGCUGGUCUGAGAGGAUGACCAGCCACACUGGAACUGAGACACGGUCCAGACUCCUACGGGAGGCAGCAGUGGGGAAUAUUGCACAAUGGGCGCAAGCCUGAUGCAGCCAUGCCGCGUGUAUGAAGAAGGCCUUCGGGUUGUAAAGUACUUUCAGCGGGGAGGAAGGGAGUAAAGUUAAUACCUUUGCUCAUUGACGUUACCCGCAGAAGAAGCACCGGCUAACUCCGUG